GCUUCAAAGCAUUUAUCUGAAGCCGUGUCUAUAAGCAUAUAUGGUCGAACGCUCCAAAGUGCCGCGCUUUUUGAAACAUUGCCAACGAAUAAGAUUUACCAACGUUAAUUUAAAAGUUCUUCAACGUGAAACUGUUUCUAAUAGAUUCGAAUAAGUAGAACGGUGCAAUUAGAAUACAAUCGACUUGUAUUUAAUGAGUUUUAUUUCUGUAGAUUGCUGCAGCGAUACUUAAGUACCGAAAUGUAUAUGUAUGUACAUUUAAGUAAUAAUAACGAGCAAUAUUUAUGUACAAGUACACCGAAUUAUAAACACUAAACAUUCGUCACACCUUACGCAUAAUUCAUCUAAACCAAUUCAUUUGAAUGUUGUACCAGUCCUUUGUUUCAUUUUGUCCAAGUACUCUGUUUUUAUGUAAAACUACAAGAUCGGAGUGGAAUAUGGAAAAUUGUAUGUUUCCCUGUUUUGGCACAGCUCGUUACAAAAAGAAGAAAACGAAUACGUGUAACCGAACAAAAUAUAGGAUAAAAAGACAGCGUUUGGAAGAAAUAUUUCUAACGGUUAGCAACGACGUGUCGCUUUUUUGUUUACGAAAUAUCUGUUGAAAAAAAUGCUUCCUUCUUUUUUUUUUUUGCUUGGGAAAUAUUCGAUGUUCGAUAAAGCCCUUCUCUAGCUGAACGAUAUGUGUGCUAUUUAACAAUAAUAAUUCGAUUAUCGAUUCGUCGCAAGGUAAAAUGGGCACGCAAUUAUUUUACGAUUACCUUACGCAAUUAUUCAUUAAGCCUGCAUAAAUUGGUAAUAUUGGUCUCGCAUACAAAUACAUAAUACAGAAACCGACAUGCAAUUCUUUUUUAAAAGCGGGGUAUAUUACAAACUUAACAGUAGCGGUAGAUAUACCAAUAAUUUUAUGCAAUGUAUAUGUUACAAAAUUGUAUUCCCCCAUUUUCUUUAAUUAUUGGUUUUUUUAAACAAAGUCCAUUGUUCUCGUAUAUGUUUUUUUUUCAUUUUAUUUCUCUUCUAUUACGGAGUGAGUCAUUCGUCACUGUAAACAUUUGAAACACUGGUCUGUUUUUUUUUGUCACUUCGUCUAAUACUCUAAGAAUUCUCAUGGUAUACAUCCAUCGCAUUCACUCGCUUCUUCCUUUUCACAGUCGCAUACAUACACUCAUAUUUCUCUUUCUCUCUCUGUCUCUUUCACUCACGUGUAUUCCUCAUAACUAUACGUUUCUUGUUUUACUUGUAUAAAUCAAUCGAUCAUUAUUAGUGGUCACAUCGAUAAAAUCAUCAUUCAUAACAAACAAAUGAAAUCAUUGUAAAGUCUUAUAUUUAUUAUUUAUGUAUAAAUAUUGUUAAAUAUAUAUGUAUAUUAAAAAUUUGCUACACAUUUCACGAUUAUUUUACACAGAAUUCGUUAUUCUAUCCUGAUAAUGACUUAAAUCGAUUAAGUAACUUCUUUUUUUUUUGUUGUGGUUUGUUAACUGGACACGAACUCUUCUCGCAUCAACGAAGAUAGGAGACUAUGUAUACCCAAUGGCGAGACUCGAUUUUGAUCCUGUCGGUUCGCUCCUUUCCUUCUACAAAAAAAAAAAAGAUAUAAAAAAAGAAUCGAAAGAAGACGGAACCGCCGUUGCGAUCAGAAUCGAGUCGCGAAAUUCACGCAAGAAUAAUCGCUAUGUACUUUGUUACACGUCAAAUAAUGCGUUUUUAUAAAGAGCGAAAGAAAAGAGAAAAAAGAACGAAAGGAAACGGUACAAUGAACCGAUAUGCUGCGCUUCUAGAAAUUGAGUCACGACGUCACGGUAUAAAAAUCUAAACUGACCUUACUGUGUACUAAAAAAUAUAAUUGUUUUACCGCCAAGCGAGACAAGCUCGAUUCUUUAUAAUCAUCGGCAGCAAGAGUGCUGCUCAGCGAUUGUACCUCUACGCGUUCGGU
Molecule: long non-coding RNA, 1930 nt
Organism: Hylaeus anthracinus
Lineage: Eukaryota; Metazoa; Arthropoda; Insecta; Hymenoptera; Colletidae
Exons: 2
Source: RefSeq, a predicted model, not a curated record